CGCGUAAAACACCCAACUCUUCUGAAGUUGACCUCGAAUCAGGUAGGAAUACCCGCUGAACUUAAGCAUAUCAAUAAGCGGAGGAAAAGAAACCAACAGGGAUUGCCCCAGUAACGGCGAGUGAAGCGGCAACAGCUCAAAUUUGAAAUCUGGCUCUCGGGCCCGAGUUGUAAUUUGUAGAGGAUGCUUUUGGUGAGGUGCCUUCCGAGUUCCCUGGAACGGGACGCCAUAGAGGGUGAGAGCCCCGUCUGGUUGGACGCCGAACCUCUGUAAAGCUCCUUCGACGAGUCGAGUAGUUUGGGAAUGCUGCUCUAAAUGGGAGGUAUAUGUCUUCUAAAGCUAAAUACCGGCCAGAGACCGAUAGCGCACAAGUAGAGUGAUCGAAAGAUGAAAAGAACUUUGAAAAGAGAGUUAAACAGUACGUGAAAUUGUUGAAAGGGAAGCGCUUGUGACCAGACUUGGGCUUGGUUGAUCAUCCGGGGUUCUCCCCGGUGCACUCUUCCGGCCCAGGCCAGCAUCAGUUCGCCCUGGGGGACAAAGGCUUCGGGAACGUGGCUCUCUCCGGGGAGUGUUAUAGCCCGUUGCGUAAUACCCUGUGGCGGACUGAGGUUCGCGCAUUCGCAAGGAUGCUGGCGUAAUGGUCAUCAGUGACCCGUCUUGAAACACGGACCAAGGAGUCGUCUUCGUAUGCGAGUGUUCGGGUGUCAAACCCCUACGCGAAAUGAAAGUGAACGCAGGUGAGAGCUUCGGCGCAUCAUCGACCGAUCCUGAUGUUAUCGGAUGGAUUUGAGUAAGAGCAUACGGGGCCGGACCCGAAAGAAGGUGAACUAUGCCUGUGUAGGGUGAAGCCAGAGGAAACUCUGGUGGAGGCUCGCAGCGGUUCUGACGUGCAAAUCGAUCGUCAAACAUGGGCAUGGGGGCGAAAGACUAAUCGACUU
This 938-nucleotide small RNA is filed under the name Fusarium perseae. RNAcentral's name for it is "eukaryotic LSU rRNA". It matches the Rfam family "Eukaryotic large subunit ribosomal RNA", at positions 1 to 942 of the family's 3401-position model. Lineage: Eukaryota; Fungi; Ascomycota; Sordariomycetes; Hypocreales; Nectriaceae. The record is from RNAcentral.